RNAcentral lists this ribosomal RNA (301 nucleotides) under uncultured bacterium. RNAcentral describes it as "partial 16S ribosomal RNA". It matches the Rfam family "Bacterial small subunit ribosomal RNA", at positions 509 to 808 of the family's 1533-position model. The record is from RNAcentral.
CAGCAGCCGCGGUAAUACGUAGGUGGCAAGCGUUGUCCGGAAUUAUUGGGCGUAAAGCGCGCGCAGGCGGAUCAGUCAGUCUGUCUUAAAAGUUCGGGGCUUAACCCCGUGAUGGGAUGGAAACUGCUGAUCUAGAGUAUCGGAGAGGAAAGUGGAAUUCCUAGUGUAGCGGUGAAAUGCGUAGAUAUUAGGAAGAACACCAGUGGCGAAGGCGACUUUCUGGACGAAAACUGACGCUGAGGCUCGAAAGCGUGGGGAGCAAACAGGAUUAGAUACCCGUGUAGUCCCUGUCUCUUAUACA